AGAGUUUGCUUUUGGCUCAGGAUGAACGCUGGCGGCGUGCCUAAUACAUGCAAGUCGAACGCACAGCGAAAGGUGCUUGCACCUUUCAAGUGAGUGGCGAACGGGUGAGUAACACGUGGAUAACCUACCUCAAGGUUGGGGAUAACAUUUGGAAACAGAUGCUAAUACCGAAUAAAACUUCGUAUCGCAUGAUACAAGGUUAAAAGGCGCUACGGCGUCACCUAGAGAUGGAUCCGCGGUGCAUUAGUUAGUUGGUGGGGUAAAGGCCUACCAAGACAAUGAUGCAUAGCCGAGUUGAGAGACUGAUCGGCCACAUUGGGACUGAGACACGGCCCAAACUCCUACGGGAGGCUGCAGUAGGGAAUCUUCCACAAUGGGCGAAAGCCUGAUGGAGCAACGCCGCGUGUGUGAUGAAGGCUUUCGGGUCGUAAAGCACUGUUGUAUGGGAAGAACAGCUAGAGUAGGGAAUGACUUUAGUUUGACGGUACCAUACCAGAAAGGGACGGCUAAAUACGUGCCAGCAGCCGCGGUAAUACGUAUGUCCCGAGUGUUAUCCGGAUUUAUUGGGCGUAAAGCGAGCGCAGACGGUUGAUUAAGUCUGAUGUGAAAGCCCGGAGCUCAACUCCGGAAAGGCAUUGGAAACUGGUCAACUUGAGUGCAGUAGAGGUAAGUGGAACUCCAUGUGUAGCGGUGGAAUGCGUAGAUAUAUGGAAGAACACCAGCGGCGAAGGCGGCUUACUGGACUGUAACUGACGUUGAGGCUCGAAAGUGUGGGUAGCAAACAGGAUUAGAUACCCUGGUAGUCCACACCGUAAACGAUGAACACCAAGGUGUUAGGGAGGUUUCCGCCUCCUUAUUGCCGAACCUAAC
RNAcentral lists this ribosomal RNA (870 nucleotides) under uncultured bacterium. RNAcentral's name for it is "bacterial SSU rRNA". It matches the Rfam family "Bacterial small subunit ribosomal RNA", at positions 8 to 856 of the family's 1533-position model. The record is from RNAcentral.